Molecule: long non-coding RNA, 8039 nt
Organism: Dromaius novaehollandiae (emu)
Lineage: Eukaryota; Metazoa; Chordata; Aves; Casuariiformes; Dromaiidae
Exons: 8
Source: RefSeq, a predicted model, not a curated record
CUUAUUGAUCAAAAAGUUGCAGAUUUACUGGAGACACUCAGAUGGAAUUUUGGCUUACUAUACAGUAAGAAGGAAUGCAAUUUCUUUUGCUUUUUAGACCAUAUAUGUUUAAGUUUAGACCUUAAAUCUGGUGCUCGUUCACAGGAUUACUGACGUCAGGAUAUUUCAGAAGUCAAGCCUUUCGGAAGAGAAACUCUUCUCUCUCUCCCUUGUGGGUUCUCCCACAUCCUCCUCAUGUGCCUGCCCCAUGAUGGGACCUUCUCUGAAGCAGCCAUGUAAUAAUGGCAAGCAAUUUUCCUCAGGAGCCUGUCUGGGGUGGCAUCACUGUCUGCUCCUGAUGUUGAAGUCAAACUUAUGCGAACUGAGUCUUCUGCAGGGAUCAGAAUCUGAAGUAUGUAAAACAGACGUAGACUGCAAGAAAGAGAAAUAAUCUGCAAAUCUGUGAAGCAUGUUACUGAGAGGAUGGACUUUUUUUUUUCCUCACCCGUUUCCAUGGCAGAUGACCUUACCUGUAGAAAUAGUUCAGGCAUUUUUUAUAAUAUUGCUCAUAGUUUGCUAGACUAAGUAAAUUUUAUUAUGAAAACCAGCUUAGGUACUUUGAUAGACCAGAGUAUAAAAAAUGAUGCACUGUGACUUAUGUUAUGAUCUGUAACCAAGAAGGGUAAAGAUCUUCUGCCAAGGAUAAAAAUAAGAUAAUCCCAUCAGACUGCCUGAACCUUCAUGCAAGUGUCCUGAAAGCUCAAGCUAAGGAAUUCUGUGCCCUAGCUUUGUUUGCUUCAAAUACAUUUUAUACUACUGGGGAAAACUCCAGGACAAAAGAAUGCUGCUCACGUUACAUGGAGACUCUAAAAGGCCAUGUGAGAAGGCCUGGGAAAUGCUAGGCUGGAUUUCAUGCCAUGAUUAAUUAAAAAAACACCCAGAGGAGGAUCCACUUCAUAAAAGACCAAAAAGAGCUCACUAAAGGCCAUCAGGAUAUUCAGCACAUACAACAGGUGUUUUUCAGCAAAAUCUUAUAUGUCUAAUUAAAAAUGCAAAACCACAAAAGACAUGAACUGGAGUAUAGCUAUGCAUGUUUCCAAGCCAUAUCGACAGUUACUGAUUCAUGUUUCCUCGCUUUGUAGAUACUGCAGCAUUUAUGUCUCCAUUUAUUUCUUGUUAUAUGUUAUUCUUGGUGAACAUAGGGUAUGUCACAUUACCUAAAAGACUGUCCUAUCUGCUUUUUUUGAGUAGUUACAGUAGCAAAUGAAUUGUCUGUAAGCUCAGAAGUUAUUGCUUCUAUCAGAUCACAUUCAUAAUCUACUGUUAAGUUCUGCAACUCACUUUCCCUGCCAACGAUGAACCUUCGGAAAGCUCACAAAGCGACAUUUGAAAGCCUCUUGUCCCUGCAAAUUCUAUUUCCUGGUCAAAGGUGCAAAAGUGUAUUACGCAGGUGCUCAGUGUGGGAAAAGAGAACAAAUUCUGCUUGAAACAUUCCUUGUGCUGUCCCACCAAAGUUUAUGUGUUGAAGGAGGGUAUUCAAUCAAGGCAGCACCUUGUUCUGCUUGUCAGAUUCAGACUGUGGACAAGCACUUGCAUUAGGGGUACACUAAUAAAUGAAUUUAGAAAAGAUCAGCACAAACUGCUAGAAUUUCUUGCAGGUAAUCACUCUGUUUUCUAAAACAUCAACAAAACCACCAAUUUACCAAAAAUAUAAGAUUUAAAAAAAAUUUUUUUAGAAGGUUGAACAGAUAUACAUCAAGAAAUCCCAAAAGAGAGGCCAUAGAAGAUACCUUUGUUCAACAGUAAAAAUUACCAUUGAUUCUCUCAUUGUGCCAUCCACUUUCUAACAUAUUUGGAGCAAGCUGAGAGGAGUCUACUUUCAGGAAGAUUGUGGGUACAGUUGGACAGUAGACAAACAAUUUGGAAUUUUCCUUUUGGCAGGAAUCACUGUUCAUAUCUGUAAUGCUAUGUGUGUAUGUAUAGACAUUAUUAUGUGAUUUUCUUGCUACUUACCUGUAGUUAAGCAGCCAUUUCUUUGGAUGGAUGUAUUGUUAUGUUUAUUAAUGUCUAAUUAUCAGUGAUUUUUUUGCUGUUGCUUUCCCAACAUUUGUCUUAUAGCAACAACAUCAUGGAUUUAAUUAAUGACUAAUGGAUGUGUUUAAAUAUCUCCAGAGCCUUGUUCCAUAAAACUUGUACCGACUGUAAUUCAUCAGAAGUCCCUGAUAUAUAAAAAAAUAGGUGUACCUAUUAAUGCUUGCUUUUAAGUUUUUUUUUUUUUUUUUUUUUUUUUUUUGUGAGAGCACAGAGUUUAUUGAAGGAGUUAACCUUUACGCAUUUUUGGAGCUAGUCACAAAACAAAAAGAAAGAGAUAAGUUGCAGAAACAGAAAGGUAAAAUCACUUGUUAUAUCUAUUAGGUGUACAUGGUUGCACUGAGAAAAAUGAUGCUAAAAUAACAACAUUUACAAUAAAUGCUAAUAAAAAGGUCUGUCUUUUGUAUCCAGUUGUGGCUUUUGUAUCCAUGUACUCUUAUUUAUAUUUUUGGUUCAAAAUCAAAAGCACCAUGGAAAAGACAACAGAACUCCAAUUUCCUUUCAAUCCAUUCAUUUUCCAUUGUGCUUUCCCCCCGGGACUAUUUUCAUAUGUUCCUCUCACAGCAUUAAAAGAUGCCUGCAACAAUCUCAAGUGAUCUCAACAGUCACUUCUUACUCAGGAGUUAGUUCCUUGGAUUUGUUAGUAUGGGCUUAGACUUAGUUCCACCAGCUAAGCAGUUAAACAUUUUGCAUGCAUACCAAAUCUGAGCCUCCCUCUUAAUAUGUCAGAAAAAAUGCUAUUAGGUGAAUAGGAACUUUGCCUACAAACAUAUAGGAAAAAAGCUUCCCAGUGCAUAAAGGACUGGAGAUUAAGCAAACAGGGCAAAUAAGAGCCAGAAAGGUACUUAGAGGUGUCAUUUCCAUUGGUCUGCAGUCAGCAUCCUGAGGAACGUGAGUGCUUUUGUGGGUCUGGCCCUAGGGUUCAGCCUGACAAAAGGACUCCUGUCCUUUGGGGCUCCUGGCUGUGAUGCCCAGCACCAGGUUCCUGACUGGAGAAGUGGAAUUUGAUAUGCAGAGUUGUGUAUUAGGAGAUGCCUCGUCCUAGAAAAAAAAAGAAAAAUAAAUCCAGCUGGUUUGUGUGUUUCAGUAGUGGCUGUGAUAUUGAGCACUAGAGUUAAUGCUUCUAGCUUAUGAGUACUGGUUUGAGAGACUAAAAUUUUCUUCAUUAUUUUCACUGAGUGGUGUUUAGCAGCAGCAUUUAUCUCAUAAAGUUCAGAUUUCACCACAGUAAUUUGCUGCCCUUGGACUCUGCUAUGGAAGAUCAGAGUUUGGACACAGUCAUGGUGGAAGUCAGAAGUGCUUCCUCCCUCCCAUGCCAGGCUGCAGACUUCAGCUGUUUUGGGGUUCAAUGGCAGCUCAGAUCCUCCCAGCUUCUCUUUCUGUCCACCUCUUGCAUCCCUCGGGAGAGAUGAGACAAAUGCUAGGAGAGAAACUAGGCACGCAAGCUGACAGAAAAGCUUCCUUGUGGUAAAGACAAAGGAAUAAACUGGCUGAGGAGGUUGUAUGUAAAGAUCUCCAAUGAUGAAAAUGCCAGAGCCUAGACAAUAUUUGUCAGGAAUGACAUAAAUGUAGUUGAUUUUGCUUUAGGGAAUGAGGCUGGACAAGAUGACCUCUUGAGGUAUUUUCCAGACCUUUGGCUCCGUAAACUGUAUUUGAACUGACAAGGAAACUAUAGGCAGAAUGUUUUAAAAGAAACACAUUAUCUGACCUGUCUGGGGAUCACGUGCCCCCUUGCUUAUUUCCUGUAACAACUCUGGACUCAUCUAUAUAAGAUACUAUGUUGUCUGCGCACUGAUUGCCUGAGGCCAACCCAUUUUAUGCAGGGAUACCUGGCAUUCGUUGUAAGGUAGUUGACUCAACAGAGCUUUGAUUUUUAACCAUCUAAAAGCUAAAAGGUCUUACUUGAGGGUCUUGAUGCUAGACCCUAAUGUCCAAAGAGAAUUUAGAUUUACCAAACACUUUCAGGGGGGUUCAAAUAUCUCCUGCUUAAGGCACUGCUGAAACUUCAUUAACAAGUGUUUGGACUGGAGUGGGUCAUUAGGGAUGGAAAUUAAAAUGUUCAGUAAAGUUUUGUAGAUGUGCUGCAGGACAGGACAAAGCAUAUGUUUAUAACCUGGGAAAUAAAAUGUGAAAGAAAAUAAAGAUUACAACAAGCCUGUCAGAAAUACAAAGAAUUUGUAUCUGCAGUAUUGUUUGUCCUGUGAAGGAAACCAUGGCAUGUAUUUCUUAGUAAUGUCAGCUGAUGGAGCUGAGACCAUAAAAUGUUCCUUGCCACUAGCAGAACAUUUCUAUUGCUAGUUAUUGAUCAUAUUGCUAGUUAUUGUGGAAACAUAUAUUAUAAAUUGCAUUCCUUUUUUUUUUGUUUUUCCUUAUGUGGAAAAAGUUGCUCUGUGGUGAUGCAGAGGAAGCUACUGCCACAGAAAUUCUCUGGAGAAACAGGAGGGCACAUUUCCUUUCCAUAGCAUAUGUUUCAUGUGCCAAAUGACAGGCAGGCAAACAGGCUUGUCAAACGUCUUGCUUUUUCAAGAAUCCUUGUUUGUAUGUGAUGACCCGCUUCUGGCUCAUGGUCCGCAAGUCUCAGACCAGUUGAAAUAGCAUGCUAUUCAAUGAUGGUGUGUUGGUACUGCAGAUGAUAGAUGGGUGCAUAAGGAAGUAGACAGAAUUGCAUAUGCUUUGAAACAGUGUUCAAAAUCACUGGCUAAACUCAACUGUUAACACGGCAGGGAAGACAGUCAGGCAUUUAAAACUAUCUUUAAGUGCACAGGAAAAUAAAAUCAGAAACUGGAAAAUGCCAAGAGGUUGACAAAAGCUGGUCACGACUUGUCACAAAUCAAAAUGCUCCAGACACAAGAAGUCUUUGUCUUGCUUUUGAUACUAUGAUAAUUUAAUUUGUAGCCUUCAGUUCCAUAACACUUUAUUUCUACAUUUAUACUCCUGAUUGGGUUAAGUGAUUGUUGUCGUUUUUGUUUUUUUUCAAUCUGCAGGAGAAAUAACAAAAUGCCACCUCCACACCUCAUCUCAUCUGAGGGAUGCAUCUGGCCCCCAAUUUUUAUCAUUCACUUCAUUCUCGCCAUUCAUUGUCUGGGAAGUUGUCUCCAGGCUGAGAAAUCCACAAGGUUACAGGGGGAAUAAAAGUUAGCUUUGCAACAUGUAAGUACCUUUGAGGAUCCGGGCCCAAAGGCUCAAUGCUACACCAUCAAAGUCAAUAGGAGCUUCCCCAAGUUAGAAUGGGAAAUUGAGUUAACAAUAAGGAACAGCAUUUCCAAAUGGGUCAUCACCGUAGCUGGCCAUGGACUUACGUGGGAUGCCAUUUUCAAGGACUGGAGAGAAUUGGCAACUGCUUAGAAAACUGAGUUCAUAUUUGAGCUGGCCCUCAUCUCACAUCUCAAAAGGCUUCAAGCUGUGGAAGAACCAGAAGAUGGAGGUCAAUUGGAGCAGGGGGAGAACACAGCAGAUCAGAUUCUGGCAUACCUAGUGCUCCUGAGCACUUCUCCUGCAUUACCUAUUCUUGUGGCACACAGGAAAUUCAGUGAAAGAGUUGCUGCCACCUCUCCAUGCUGGUGGGCAGGUGACAGUGGGAACUAAGAAAAGUGUGGAGUAUGUGCUCUGUUCUUUCAAUGAGCUGAGUACCACUCCUACCCUGAAGAGAUACGCCAGCUCCAUGUAGAACCCAAGCAAUUGUAUUACUGGGAACAUACGAUGUAUUUGACCAGAAGGCAGAAGCUGGUGAUCUGUUAUAAUUUAGUGGACAGAAAUGACAAGCUCAUGCCUACACAUUAGCUGCAUGAUUUGAUUCUAUUAAAGAUCCUUACAAAGAGGAAGAGCAGCAGAAACAAGGAUAUGGUUAGAUAUUGUUAUUUAAUACUUGCAAUUAAAAAAAACAAAGAAACCAGAAAAAGUUAAUAAGUAAGAAUAUGAAGACUUGACCUGGAGAAGAAACACUUCUGAAACUAUUUACUAACAAGAAAAACUAUAUCCAAGCAUAUGAGAAUGAUGAGAACACUUAGGAUCAGUGAGCAGAUCCUGCACUAUUUAAUGUUGGGACCAAAAGACUAGGAUGUAUAACUGUACAAUUACACUGAGAAACGUUUAGCUUCCUAAGCAGCGCUAUCGCAUUUGAUGUGAACUAGAUGAAGAAAAAGCCAGUACUUAGUGUUGUGAAAGUAAAAUCUUCUUUACCUGCCUGGCCACAGGCCCCCCAACCCCAACCCUGACUCGUAGGGUUUCUUUACUCUGGUACUUUCAGUCUAAUUACCUGUACCUUUCAAACAAAACUUUAAGAUCACUGUCCUACAAUCUACAAAAGUACGAAUGGCUGAUCUCUUUGACAUCACUGACUUCAUUUGUUUGUGAAAUGCUGCUCAUUCACCCUUCAGAUCCCCUCUCACCUUUCCUCAAAACCUUCCUGAUUUCCAUCCAUGACUGUCAAUAUACUUGAGAUCUCCAGUGUUGCUUUCUAUUAGCAUAACUUUUACUGCACUACCAAUUAUUGAAGUUAUAAAAGAGGGUCCCAAAUAAGGAGAUAAAAGUGAGUCAUUUCAGUGCCUUUGUUUUUGAAUGCCUUUCUCAUGGACACUUGCAAGACAUCUCUGGCUGAAAUAGUAAGUGACAGGAAAAGAAAAGCAGCCUCCAUGCUGCUUCUAGAGGUCUCCAUCUCAUAGCUCCUUUAGCUUCAUAAUAAAAUUUUAACCUUCUUGUUUUUUAAAAAUAUUUUUAAGGAAUAUUUGUGUCUUAAAUAUCCUUUGCUGGGACACUGAGUUUGACUCAUGUGAGCUUAGCCACCAUAAUCUGGCCCCUUACUGCUAGUUGUCAGUAGAUCUGCUGAAUUUGGUUCUUGUUGAAUUGCGUGCAUUACUCAGGCUUAAGAAGCUCCUUUGGACAUUUCUGAGCUUCUUUCCAAGAAGCCAUUGCUUCAGAAGAUCACAACAUUUCCUUCUUAAAACUCUGUCCCUAUGUAACGUUCUACCACUUAAUGCACGAUUAGGUGAAACCAUUUGAUAUGGAAUGGCAUUUAAAACUUAUUGUCAGAAAAUACAUUGGGGAUUAGUUCUGUUUCCAAGAGCCAUUACUGGUGAUGAGAUCAGGAGUGUGAAAUGGCUGCAAGGGCAAAGAAGAAAGCACAACAGCAACCAACUUCUUAAUCUUUCUUAUUACUGCAAACUCUUCUUCCUUUAAGUGAUUCCUUCCUACUUUUUCAAAUGUGAGGAAUACCAAGAGGGGGGGAACAAGAUGCAAAGGACUGCCCUUAUCCUCCUGCCUUUCUACCUGCAUGGGCUGCACCACAAGAUGGGGUACAGGAUGGUAGGAUUAAGAUAUGUUGUAAUGAGGGGAACAUCUAUUCCCCACCUGACACAAUUUCUUGAAAAAAAUCCUGCCUCCCUGUGGCACAAUUCCUCCCUAAGAUCCACAGAGGUUGGGGGUAGGGGAGAAGAGCACCCAAGUGAAACUAUACCUAAUGGGGCAACCAAGCACACUCACAGCAGGAGUUACAUAAAUACGUAAGACAAAAUAAAGUAACAUGUAGGAAGACAGCAAGUGUUAGCUCUUCUCUUAGCUGGAAGAAUGUGUGCAUAUAAGAUUUUUUGGAAGAUGUUCAAAGGGUCUCUUUGUUUUUUGAAACACACACGUUGCUUCACAUUAUUCAGGAAUGUUUCUUUUCUUGGGCCAAUUUCUUCUCUGCAUGAGAUGAGUAUAGAAAAACCUCCAGGAAAGGUGUUUAAAGUGAUGAAAGCACAGAACUCAAAACAAUUUUUAUGGUGCUUUCAUAUAUUUUUCUAUCGUUUUAACCUACUUAAGCACUGGUUUGAGAGGAACUCUUAAAACAUUUGCUUUACACAUCUUGCAAAAGAUUUAUUGUAAUGUUAAAUGUUGUUCUGUGAUAUUUCCAGAUGAACAAGUACAAAUGCAUUCCUGUAAUACAUUUAUUUCUUUGUUUCUCAGGUAAAGAAUAAAAAUGACUUAAAAACAUA